This 1100-nucleotide long non-coding RNA is filed under the name Eptatretus burgeri (inshore hagfish). RNAcentral describes it as "lncRNA (ENSEBUG00000017198.1)". The record is from RNAcentral. Lineage: Eukaryota; Metazoa; Chordata; Myxini; Myxiniformes; Myxinidae.
CCUCUCCACCCACUGUACGUCCCCUGACCCGCCCCUCUAUUGAGUAAGACGCACCCCCUUCGUUCUUCGUUUCUCGAACUUGUUGUGCACACCCAUGGGAGAUAAGAAACACUUUGCGCAUCCAGGGUGCAGAGACCUGUGCAACUUCUAGUCUCUUAUUCUAGGACCUCUUGCCUACCAGGAGAGAUCUUUCGACUGGAGAGUAUAUUUAACUUCACUUUACAGGGUCUCGGAGCCUUUAACUAUUGUGAUAUUGCACUACAACCGUCCUGCGGAGAAACGCGACAUCCUCAGGAAAUGCCUCGAUCGUUCUUGGUACGGAGCCGCAGGGGGGGUGGUCCACGACGUUGGAGCUGUGACAAGCAGUUGGAGCAAAGUCCAGGUCCUUUGGCUAGUCCAGGCCAGGUUCAAAUCAAGUAUGAAAAAGAUCUUUCUGCAUCAAUUCCCAGUGCCCCAGAGCAGCAUCUACACUCAAUACCCACACUGAAUGAAGUCAGGCUGAGCCCAGCUUUCACCCCGGUGUGCCCUCCACUGCACAGCAGCAACUUGUUGGGGUUCAACCCUGUCGGCGGUUGCUGUUUAUCACCAAGCUCAGCCAUGCCCCUCAAUCCAGGCCUGCCUGAGCAUCAUGCGUAUGCUUGCCUGAAAUGUAGCAAGGUAAUAAAUGUUGCUCUUCCUUCUUAAAUCUUUUUGAAAAAAAUCCAUCAUAAAAUCACAUUUGCCGUUAAAUUGCUAUAUAACUGUGCUGUCGAUUGAAUUAUUAAUGUACAAUACGGGACUUUCAAAAUGACGUAUGAAUGUUAAACAAGGCUUUUUGCGCAUGCGCUGUGUGUGUUGACAGUGAUUCGGUUCAGUUCGGCUCGACAGGCACUUUGAACCUGCCGUUGCGGGCACAAAAUCUGUGAUUCAAAUCCUCUUUUAAACCUCCUUUUCGGCAUUGAAAUGAAAGAGUGGCAAUUUCAAAAUGGUAAAGCAUAAUUGUUCUGUUCCUGAAUGCAAAUCGGACUCGCAGAAAUAGAGGAAUACAUGAAAUAUCCAUGGAUGAGAUGUAUCGGGUUCAUUAUAUUUCCUGUUAGUACAUUGUAGCAUCGGCUGUCGAU